AGUGAACGCUGGCGGUAGGCCUAACACAUGCAAGUCGAACGGCAGCACAGUAAGAGCUUGCUCUUACGGGUGGCGAGUGGCGGACGGGUGCGGAAUACAUCGGAAUCUACUUUUUCGUGGGGGAUAACGUAGGGAAACUUACGCUAAUACCGCCUACGACCUACGGGUGAAAGCAGGGGAUCUUCGGACCUUGCGCGAUUGAAUGAGCCGAUGUCGGAUUAGCUAGUUGGCGGGGUAAAGGCCCACCAAGGCGACGAUCCGUAGCUGGUCUGAGAGGAUGAUCAGCCACACUGGAACUGAGACACGGUCCAGACUCCUACGGGAGGCAGCAGAGGGGAAUAUUGGACAAUGGGCGCAAGCCUGAUCCAGCCAUACCGCGUGGGUGAAGAAGGCCUUCGGGUUGUAAAGCCCUUUUGUUGGGAAAGAAAAGCAGCAGGUUAAUACCCCGCUGUUCUGACGGUACCCAAAGAAUAAGCACCGGCUAACUUCGUG
RNAcentral lists this ribosomal RNA (492 nucleotides) under uncultured bacterium. Its description in RNAcentral is "partial 16S ribosomal RNA". It matches the Rfam family "Bacterial small subunit ribosomal RNA", at positions 29 to 507 of the family's 1533-position model. The record is from RNAcentral.